Molecule: non-coding RNA, 1078 nt
Organism: Peromyscus maniculatus bairdii (prairie deer mouse)
Lineage: Eukaryota; Metazoa; Chordata; Mammalia; Rodentia; Cricetidae
Source: RefSeq, a predicted model, not a curated record
CCUACAGAUUAGCUUGUGAUGAACAGAUGCAUUGGGGGAGGGUUGAAGGGAGUUCCAGGAUGAGAUAUUUUCAAGAUUUAUUUCAAGUGGAUGUGGAAAGAGAGCAUGUUUUUCCCACCAAGACUGGAAACAGGAAAGGUCAGGGGCCGUAACCUAUGACCAUGUCCUAUCUGGAAACUGGAGACAGCGGAGCCAGUGACUAGUCAGGAAGGCAUGACUUAGGAGAAGUGACUGAGCAAUGGGGGUGUACCUGAUGAGGAAACUCAGCUCAAAUGCUGUGGCGGGUCUGUAUGCAGGAGAGAGAGUCACACAGUAUACAAGACGGAGUCCCCAGGACCCCCCUAAAGCUACUACAGUAGUGCCUGUCUGGAAUCACAGCUCUCCUGUGUGAGACCGGAGGCAGAGGCAGGAGGACCCCUGGAAGCUGAUGGCCAGCUAACCUGGAGGUCCACAGUGGUGAAGUGGGGGACUGUCUCCAACAAGGUGGAAGGCAAGUCCCGCCCCCAAGGCUGUCCUGUGACUUCUACUCAUGUUGUAUGGUAUGUGCACACCUGCCCUUAUAUAUGCGUGUGCACGUUUGCACACGCAUGCACGUUUGCACACGCAUGCACGCACGCAAAGAUAAAGCAACAACAUUCUCACUUAAGGACACAAAGCGCCAUGGGACAGCAGCUGCUACCAUGAACAGAAUCACGUACAGAGGAACUGGCCAGGGACUCCCACCAUACAGGCUCCGACAGUGACCUCGGUCAAACCAGAACAAGAGUCUCCACCAGAGCCAGAGCCUCUUGAGGCUGGAGCUUCCCUGUGGCCUGCUGCUCCUCUCCAGCACGGAUGACCACUCUCCUCUCUCACGUGCUCCCUGGGAACACACCACAGGAGUCAGCCUAUGACACAGCACGGGAGUCAGCCUACGACACAGGUAGGUAAAUGAGCCAGACUGAUUUCCCCACUGCUGUGGAAUGGACUGUCUUCCACCAUUAUAGCCAUUGGUGGAAGGGACUGUGGCAGAUGAGGUCCUGUAGAUGGGAAUAGCUGCUCAUAGGAAAAGACCAGGGAACCUCCUCCCUCCCCUCCC